GGAGAGGUGUCAGAGUGGUCUAAUGUGCUCGCUUGGAAAGCGGGUGUGGCGUAACAGUCACCGCAGGUUCAAAUCCUGUCCUCUCCGCCA
This 90-nucleotide transfer RNA is filed under the name Candidatus Caccopulliclostridium gallistercoris. RNAcentral describes it as "tRNA-Ser". It matches the Rfam family "tRNA". Rfam says of the family: Transfer RNA (tRNA) molecules are approximately 80 nucleotides in length. Their secondary structure includes four short double-helical elements and three loops (D, anti-codon, and T loops). Lineage: Bacteria; Bacillati; Bacillota; Clostridia. The record is from RNAcentral.